This 425-nucleotide ribosomal RNA is filed under the name uncultured bacterium. RNAcentral's name for it is "bacterial SSU rRNA". It matches the Rfam family "Bacterial small subunit ribosomal RNA", at positions 354 to 796 of the family's 1533-position model. The record is from RNAcentral.
GUGGGGAAUAUUGGACAAUGGGCGCAAGCCUGAUCCAGCCAUGCCGCGUGAGUGAUGAAGGCCCUAGGGUUGUAAAGCUCUUUCACCGGUGAAGAUAAUGACGGUAACCGGAGAAGAAGCCCCGGCUAACUUCGUGCCAGCAGCCGCGGUAAUACGAAGGGGGCUAGCGUUGUUCGGAAUUACUGGGCGUAAAGCGCACGUAGGCGGACAUUUAAGUCAGGGGUGAAAUCCCGGGGCUCAACCCCGGAACUGCCUUUGAUACUGGGUGUCUGGAGUAUGGAAGAGGUAAGUGGAAUUCCGAGUGUAGAGGUGAAAUUCGUAGAUAUUCGGAGGAACACCAGUGGCGAAGGCGGCUUACUGGUCCAUUACUGACGCUGAGGUGCGAAAGCGUGGGGAGCAAACAGGAUUAGAUACCCUAGUAGUCC